UAUCAAAAAAAAUCAAAGAUCGCAUCUCACUAUAGGAUAAUGCUGUGUGGAUGGUAUUGGACUUGUCGGAAAUAAAUCAUAUGUAUCACCAUAUUUGUGAUGCUGCUUUAUGAGGUGUUAGGUUGUAAGUUCAUCCUUUCAUAAAGUUAAAUUCUUAUUAUAGCAAACUAUCUUUGUUGAAUUGUGAGCCCUUCUUAUCACUGCUACCUGAAGGAUAACGGAGAAUGGAUGGAUCAUCUACAGGUGGAUCUUAAAUAUUAGCAUUGGAAGUGAUUGAUCUGCUCUGUUCUUUCUUCAUGAUGCUGACAUUUUGAGACCAGUCUUACUCCUUAUGAGAAAGGUCAGCAAUGCUAAAUGUAGAAGGAUUGAAGAAUCUAUUUAAUUGAUGAUCAGGGCAUGGAUAGGUGCUGACCAAAAAGUUACAGCUCGGGAUGGAGCUAGUAAAAUAUUGGUAAUGAAAAAGGAGAGGAGGAAAAGAAAAGAGAAGCAUAGGAUAAGCUGGCAAAGGUCUUUCUUGCAAGGUGCACAGCAUUUCCUCGUUUUGAGGGGAGCAAGGUCCAUCAAUGGACUAUAUGAGGAUAGGCCUGAAAACUGACAACACCUAGGCCAGAAUAAUAAGACCUGAAUUAUUGGAGGGGACUUCGCUUGUGUUUGCUCCACAUGCAUAGAUGCAUGAAUCUAUCAGAUGCCUGUCCACACCAGUCUUCAAAGUUACGUCAAAUCAGGAAUAAAAUACGUAGGGAAAAGCAAUCCUGUACCUCCAUUAAGUAGUACAAUAAUGCUAGAUACCAUAACUAGCUUAUCCUCUUAUACAGUUUACUGUAGACUGAUGUUGCAGGGCAAUUAAAAACAUAGAAUUGAAAAUGCCAGGGCAAAUGAGCUAGUAGUAAACUGAGGUGCCGGGUGCGUGAAAGCUUCUUCUAGUCGAAAGAUGUACAUACUUUAAGACUCUUCAUUCAUGAGUAGCAUUUCUGAUUAAAUUUUGCCCCAUCUUUUCGUUCUUACAUUGUACCUACCUGCAUGCUGGGUCCUUGACUUAUUUUAUUAUUGUCAAUAAGUAUAGCAUAACAAUUAUAUUGUCACUAAUAAUUUAAUGUCUGCUUCCUGAUGGGCAAACAAAGGUGACACUUGAAGUCGACAUGCUGAGCUAUCAUGAGAUCAAGUGUAGGUAAAAUAUAUUCAUGAUUGAGCUUUUUGCAUGCUCCUCAGAAGCUUCCUUUUUUAUGGACAUCUCUCCCGUAGCUUGUGUCCUUAUAACCGAACAAUAUACCUUUUAAAGAAAUAAAUGGAUCAAGCAGCAUGUAGAUUGCAUCGUUUGCUCCUCUUUUUUUCUCUCUCUUUCUCUUGGGGCAAACUAGUCAAGAACAUGUGGCACAGGAUAUAUUGAAAUGUACACAUCAUCUGCGUGAUAAAUAUGCUCAAUAGUCCGUACCAUUUAGAAUCAAGUAAAUUGCUUCUAUCUGCUUCUUGAUGUUCAAAUGAUAUUUAGCUGUAGUGUCACUAAUGGCUAUUGCUAGAACUUUCAUAAUAGUUAUCUUUGGGCCUCACGUACAUAGUUGUGGAAGAAUGUUGUUACAUAUAUGCUUAAGAAUGUGGCUCAGAAUAGUUGUUAGCUCAUUGUUCUCUGUGCAGGAAGAGAUAUACAGAAAGCUGACCCAGUAUAUGGAGACCGAGAUCCUUUGCAUAUGAUCGCAGAAUAUGUUUGGUAAAUAAGACAUAUUGGUCCAAGAAGACUUUAGUGAAGCAAGAAAAACUACUCAAGGAAAA
Molecule: long non-coding RNA, 1767 nt
Organism: Panicum virgatum (switchgrass)
Lineage: Eukaryota; Viridiplantae; Streptophyta; Magnoliopsida; Poales; Poaceae
Exons: 2
Source: RefSeq, a predicted model, not a curated record